Long non-coding RNA from Gadus macrocephalus (Pacific cod), 1023 nucleotides. RefSeq lists it as uncharacterized. Lineage: Eukaryota; Metazoa; Chordata; Actinopteri; Gadiformes; Gadidae. The transcript is spliced from 2 exons. The record is from RefSeq and is a predicted model, not a curated record.
UAUAUAUAUACUGGAAGAUUAUUUAACUGAACGGCACUGAGUGGUAAAGAUUCAGCCAUUAUUUGGUCAAAUAAAUGUUUAGUUUCUUUUGGCCAUAUCGGCAAAUGACUAACGUUAAACACCGCCCCUCUAAUCUCGUCAUUGCUGAUCACGUUCACCUGCGUUCGUUUACGCACACAACGGCGGGGAGCUGCCAGGUGGGCGCAGUGAAAAGUCAGGAGACUAGUUGGUAUAUUGGCAUACAUACAAUUAUGUAUAUAUUGUUUUUUGGAGGAACCAUCCAUUCUACGAGAAGAACGAUUUUACUCGGUGAGGAUUUGAGGUUACGCCAAAUACAACCAUGCUUACACUAUCCAAGUAAUUAAACGGUAAGCCUGCUGAAGGCUAACUAAGCUAAUGUUUGUUCGAUCAAUUCCCCAAAACCUAAUUAGAAAUGCACCAGGUGUUUUACAAAUGCAUUUUGAGUAAAUUAAUUGUUUGCUAUUUUGUCAAUUUAAUGUGUAUGCGUUCAGACUUUGAAACCGUCAAAGUCGGACAUCAGUCAUAAUGCCGUAGGCGGCCAUCGUCGGGCGGGAAAAACGUUCUAGAAUCUUCGGUAUGACGACGCGUUAUUUUAGUAAUGGAGGCCGUUUCCCAAGUCCCAACCCAUUUGUUGUAUUGCUGUUCUGUCCAUGAAUUCGCUAUACAUGUGUAAUGUGACGAACACAUUUACGUCACGUUAAAAUCAGUCGUACAACAAAUCCCUGUUAACGUUAAAUUAGGUUGUUUGACUAAGGUCACUCACAUCUUGCUAAAAUCAUAUGUAAUACCACUUCAAACAAGAUCAGUUCAUUCUACCCUCCAUUCUUCCUCCUUUCAGGUGUAAUUAGAUUGAUGGAUAAUCAUUACGUGAUGUGGAAAUGACUCCACUUCUUGGAAGCAAGGCCUACAACUGGUAGACUAACCAAGGAACUCUGAAGGCUAAUGUACUGCUGAGUUCAUGUUUAAUGUGUUGGCUUCCAAAUAAACCACUACUACAUCGUU